RNAcentral lists this ribosomal RNA (680 nucleotides) under uncultured archaeon. RNAcentral's name for it is "bacterial SSU rRNA". It matches the Rfam family "Archaeal small subunit ribosomal RNA", at positions 49 to 729 of the family's 1478-position model. The record is from RNAcentral.
CCAUGCUAGUCGCACGGGUUUAGACCCGUGGCAAAUAGCUCAGUAACACGUGGCCAAACUACCCUGUGGACAGGGNAUAACCUCGGGAAACUGAGGCUAAUCCCCGAUACAGCUCUCAUGCUGGAGUGCAGAGAGCUGGAAACGUUCUGGCGCCACAGGAUGUGGCUGCGGCCGAUUAGGUAGACGGUGGGGUAACGGCCCACCGUGCCUAUAAUCGGUACGGGUCAUGAGAGUGAGAACCCGGAGACGGUAUCUGAGACAAGAUACCGGGCCCUACGGGGCGCAGCAGGCGCGAAACCUUUACACUGCACGACAGUGCGAUAAGGGGACUCCGAGUGCGAGGGCAUACAGUCCUCGCUUUUCUGCACCGUAAGGUGGUACAGGAACAAGUGCUGGGCAAGACCGGUGCCAGCCGCCGCGGUAACACCGGCAGCACGAGUGAUGGCCGAUUUUAUUGGGCCUAAAGCGUCCGUAGCCGGCCAGACAAGUCCGUUGGGAAAUCGACGUGCCUAACACGUCGGCGUCCAGCGGAAACUGUCUGGCUUGGGGCCGGAAGACUCGAGGGGUACGUCCGGGGUAGGAGUGAAAUCCUGUAAUCCUGGACGGACCGCCGGUGGCGAAAGCGCCUCGAGAGGACGGACCCGACGGUCAGGGACGAAAGCUAGGGUCUCGAACCGGAU